UUUAAAGUGUAAUGUAAGUCGCUUUGGAUAAAAGCGUCUGCUAAAUGA
Gasterosteus aculeatus (three-spined stickleback) is the source of this 48-nucleotide non-coding RNA. NCBI's taxonomy places the organism in Eukaryota, Metazoa, Chordata, Actinopteri, Perciformes, Gasterosteidae. The record is from Rfam.